UGAUCUCGGUGUUCAGUUGUGCGUAGUUUUUGAUUUGCACCUCGCCCUUGGGCAAGUGCAGAAUCCUGGGGUUAUACAAAGCGCAUCACAGUUAACCCCUUUGUCCCAGUCCGCAGAAUGAGAGCUCAGAGCCCGGCCAUGGGAGGCUGGGUUAUAUAGGCAGGAAAAUCAAGGAACCCAGGUAUGAGCAGGGGCGUUUGUGGCGCGGAGAGAGCUCCUAUCCCUGCCGUCCAUCUACGUCUCAGGCUUGGCCCCUGGCGUGCAGAAAACCGCAUCUCCCGAAAUCCCAGAACGUAAACGUCGCCCAGGUACUCGCUAAGGCGAAGCGAGGAAUGAAGUUUCUGGGAGACAGCCUCAGACCUGGAAGGCAGUGACCAUCCUCUGCUUUUUCAAUCUGAGUCGGGAUCUGCUCCCUGCAGGCAAGGCCACCCGGAAGUAGCGGGGCAGCUUCUCCCAGCCCCAGAACUUCACGCCAUACGCGCCUCAUCUUCAAUAGCACUUUCCUCCUGUAGGACUCAGAAAGUGAUGGAGAACUGGGGAGCAGUAAAACACGUGCUUGGGGGAGGCGGCAGUUUCCUCUGAUCUUCUCCCAGAUAAGAGGCACAGAUGUCGUCAACAGGAGAAACAACGGGGAAUACAAAAACAUUUAGCUUUAAUUUUUGAUGCUACAAGACCCCUCUGGAGACAGUGUUCACGCAGUAUCUGGAGAGUGUUGUUUAGGCUCCUGCUUCCUCACGCAGUCCCCUCCAACAAUACUGUUGGUCCAUUGUGCUUCCCACUGUCCUUAGUCCAUCUCAUCCAUGAAUAGGCCAUCAGCUCCCCCAGACCAGCAGCGGUGGGCUUUCCUUUGAAAUCUGGAGGGUCUGGAGGGCUGCACAAACUUCCCUCGACUUCGUUAUCUCAGAGCAUUGUGAUGGAAAAGAAACAUCCCAUGCAAGUGGACAGCACUAGGUUGUGAA
Molecule: long non-coding RNA, 959 nt
Filed under: Homo sapiens (human)
Lineage: Eukaryota; Metazoa; Chordata; Mammalia; Primates; Hominidae
Source: RNAcentral